RNAcentral lists this unclassified non-coding RNA (375 nucleotides) under uncultured Flavobacteriales bacterium. Its description in RNAcentral is "contains 16S-23S intergenic spacer region". The record is from RNAcentral. Lineage: Bacteria; Pseudomonadati; Bacteroidota; Flavobacteriia; Flavobacteriales.
UCACGACUUACAUCGGCAGUUUUGUUAGAGUCCCCGGCAUUAUCCGAUGGCAACUAUCAAUAGGGGUUGCGCUCGUUAUAGGACUUAACCAAACACUUCACAGCACGAACUGAAGACAACCAUGCAGCACCUUGUAUUCCGUCAUAUAUGACUAAACUGUUUCCAGUUUAUUCGUAAUACAUUUAAGCCUUGGUAAGGUUCCUCGCGUAUCAUCGAAUUAAACCACAUGCUCCACCGCUUGUGCGAAACCCCGUCAAUUCCUUUGAGUUUCAAUCUUGCGACUAUACUUCCCAGGUGGAUCACUUAUCGCUUUCGCUUAGCCACUGAAUAUAGUUUUUCCAAUAGUUAGUGAUCAUCGUUUAGGGCGUGGACUAC